UAAGCCUACGGGACGCAGCAGUGGGGGAUAUUGCACAAUGGGGGAAACCCUGAUGCAGCAACGCCGCGUGAGUGAAGAAGGUCUUCGGAUUGUAAAGCUCUGUUCUUGGUGAAGAUAAUGACGGUAGCCAAGGAGAAAGCUCCGGCUAACUACGUGCCAGCAGCCGCGGUAAUACGUAGGGAGCGAGCGUUGUCCGGAUUUAUUGGGUUUAAAGGGUGCGUAGGCGGAAUGCCAAGUCAGCGGUAAAAUCGCGG
Molecule: ribosomal RNA, 254 nt
Filed under: uncultured bacterium
Lineage: Bacteria
Description: partial 16S ribosomal RNA
Rfam family: Bacterial small subunit ribosomal RNA
Source: RNAcentral